CCUGGCGGCACUAGCGCGGUGGUCCCACCUGACCCCAUGCCGAACUCAGAAGUGAAACGCCGUAGCGCCGAUGGUAGUGUGGGGUCUCCCCAUGCGAGAGUAGGG
RNAcentral lists this ribosomal RNA (105 nucleotides) under Salmonella enterica. Lineage: Bacteria; Pseudomonadati; Pseudomonadota; Gammaproteobacteria; Enterobacterales; Enterobacteriaceae. The record is from RNAcentral. RNAcentral also lists the same sequence under 5 other names.